GGGGGUGUAGCUUAGUGGUAGAGUGCUUGCCUAGCAUGUGAAAAGCCCUGGGUUCAAGCCCUAGCACCACAA
This 72-nucleotide transfer RNA is filed under the name Heterocephalus glaber (naked mole-rat). It matches the Rfam family "tRNA". Rfam says of the family: Transfer RNA (tRNA) molecules are approximately 80 nucleotides in length. Their secondary structure includes four short double-helical elements and three loops (D, anti-codon, and T loops). Further hydrogen bonds mediate the characteristic L-shaped molecular structure. tRNAs have two regions of fundamental functional importance: the anti-codon, which is responsible for specific mRNA codon recognition, and the 3' end, to which the tRNAs corresponding amino acid is attached (by aminoacyl-tRNA synthetases). tRNAs cope with the degeneracy of the genetic code in two manners: having more than one tRNA (with a specific anti-codon) for a particular amino acid; and 'wobble' base-pairing, i.e. permitting non-standard base-pairing at the 3rd anti-codon position. The record is from Rfam by way of RNAcentral. Lineage: Eukaryota; Metazoa; Chordata; Mammalia; Rodentia; Bathyergidae.